AGUCGUAACAAGGUUUCCGUAGGUGAACCUGCGGAAGGAUCAUUACCGAGUGAAGGGCCCUCUGGGUCCGACCUCCCACCCUUGUCUAUCGUACCUUGUUGCUUCGGCGGGCCCGCCAUUCGUGGCCGCCGGGGGGCUUCUGCCCCCGGGCCCGUGCCCGCCGGAGACAAUCAUACGAACACUGUCUGAAGGUUGCAGUCUGAGUUGAUUUAUUCAAUCGUUAAAACUUUCAACAACGGAUCUCUUGGUUCCGGCAUCGAUGAAGAACGCAGCGAAAUGCGAUAACUAAUGUGAAUUGCAGAAUUCAGUGAAUCAUCGAGUCUUUGAACGCACAUUGCGCCCCUUGGUAUUCCGGGGGGCAUGCCUGUCCGAGCGUCAUUGCUGCCCUCAAGCACGGCUUGUGUGUUGGGCCCUCGUCCCCUUCCCGGGGGACGGGCCCGAAAGGCAGCGGCGGCACCGCGUCCGGUCCUCGAGCGUAUGGGGCUUUGUCACCCGCUCUGUAGGCCCGGCCGGCGCUUGCCGACCCAACCUAUUUUUUAACCAGGUUGACCUCGGAUCAGGUAGGGAUACCCGCUGAACCUAAGCAUAUCAAU
Molecule: unclassified non-coding RNA, 593 nt
Filed under: Aspergillus cremeus
Lineage: Eukaryota; Fungi; Ascomycota; Eurotiomycetes; Eurotiales; Aspergillaceae
Description: sequence contains 18S rRNA gene, ITS1, 5.8S rRNA gene, ITS2, 28S rRNA gene
Rfam family: 5.8S ribosomal RNA (bases 225-378)
Source: RNAcentral